This 76-nucleotide transfer RNA is filed under the name Flavobacteriales bacterium CG_4_10_14_0_2_um_filter_32_8. RNAcentral's name for it is "tRNA-Lys". It matches the Rfam family "tRNA". From Rfam's summary of the family: Transfer RNA (tRNA) molecules are approximately 80 nucleotides in length. Their secondary structure includes four short double-helical elements and three loops (D, anti-codon, and T loops). Further hydrogen bonds mediate the characteristic L-shaped molecular structure. tRNAs have two regions of fundamental functional importance: the anti-codon, which is responsible for specific mRNA codon recognition, and the 3' end, to which the tRNAs corresponding amino acid is attached (by aminoacyl-tRNA synthetases). tRNAs cope with the degeneracy of the genetic code in two manners: having more than one tRNA (with a specific anti-codon) for a particular amino acid; and 'wobble' base-pairing, i.e. permitting non-standard base-pairing at the 3rd anti-codon position. Lineage: Bacteria; Pseudomonadati; Bacteroidota; Flavobacteriia; Flavobacteriales. The record is from RNAcentral.
GAUUUGGUAGCUCAGCCGGUAGAGCAUAUCCCUUUUAAGGAUAGGGUCCUGGGUUCGAACCCCAGCCAGAUCACAA